GACGAACGCUGGCGGCGUGCUUAACACAUGCAAGUCGAACGGUGAAGCGCCUUCCUUUUUGGUGGGUGUGGAUGAGUGGCGAACGGGUGAGUAACACGUGAGUAACCUGCCCCCUUCUUCUGGAUAACCGCAUGAAAGUGUUGCUAAUACGGGAUAUUCUGGGUCUGUCGCAUGAUGGGUCUGGGAAAGAUAUUGUUUCGGUGGUGGAUGGGCUCGCGGCCUAUCAGCUUGUUGGUGGGGUGAUGGCCUACCAAGGCGGUGACGGGUAGCCGGCCUGAGAGGGUGGACGGGCACACUGUGACUGAGACACGGCCCAGACUACUACGGGAGGCAGCAGUGGGGAAUAUUGCACAAUGGGAGCAAGCAUGAUGCAGCGACGCCGCGUGAGGGAUGGAGGCCUUCGGGUUGUAAACCUCUUUCGCCAGUGAAGCAGGCCUGCCUCGUUUGUGGGUGGGUUGACGGUAGCUGGAUAAGAAGCGCCGGCUAACUACGUG
This 494-nucleotide ribosomal RNA is filed under the name uncultured bacterium. RNAcentral's name for it is "partial 16S ribosomal RNA". It matches the Rfam family "Bacterial small subunit ribosomal RNA", at positions 28 to 507 of the family's 1533-position model. The record is from RNAcentral.